UAGGGAAUCUUCGGCAAUGGACGAAAGUCUGACCGAGCAACGCCGCGUGAGUGAAGAAGGUUUUCGGAUCGUAAAACUCUGUUGUUAGAGAAGAACAAGGACGUUAGUAACUGAACGUCCCCUGACGGUAUCUAACCAGAAAGCCACGGCUAACUACGUGCCAGCAGCCGCGGUAAUACGUAGGUGGCAAGCGUUGUCCGGAUUUAUUGGGCGUAAAGCGAGCGCAGGCGGUUUCUUAAGUCUGAUGUGAAAGCCCCCGGCUCAACCGGGGAGGGUCAUUGGAAACUGGGAGACGUGAGUGCAGAAGAAGAGAGUGGAAUUCCAUGUGUAGCGGUGAAAUGCGUAGAUAUAUGGAGGAACACCAGUGGCGAAGGCGGCUCUCUGGUCUGUAACUGACGCUGAGGCUAGAAAGCGUGGGGAGCAAACAGG
This 429-nucleotide ribosomal RNA is filed under the name Gemmatimonadota bacterium. RNAcentral's name for it is "Gemmatimonadetes bacterium partial 16S ribosomal RNA". It matches the Rfam family "Bacterial small subunit ribosomal RNA", at positions 355 to 776 of the family's 1533-position model. Lineage: Bacteria; Pseudomonadati; Gemmatimonadota. The record is from RNAcentral.